Molecule: long non-coding RNA, 223 nt
Organism: Camarhynchus parvulus
Lineage: Eukaryota; Metazoa; Chordata; Aves; Passeriformes; Thraupidae
Exons: 3
Source: RefSeq, a predicted model, not a curated record
GAAUGUGUUCCCCUACCCCUCAGUCCUGACCGAGGAACAAGAACAAACCCUGCAGGAGCUCGUGGGUCCCCUCAGCCGCUUCUUUGAGGAAGUGAACAACCCCGCCAAAAACGACGCCCUGGAGAAGGUGGAGGACAAGACCAUGAAAGGGUUAAAGGAGUUGGGGGCGUUUGGGCUCCAGGUGCCCCUCGAAUUUGGGGGGCUGGGGCUCAACAACACCCAG